Molecule: long non-coding RNA, 1848 nt
Organism: Oncorhynchus kisutch (coho salmon)
Lineage: Eukaryota; Metazoa; Chordata; Actinopteri; Salmoniformes; Salmonidae
Exons: 3
Source: RefSeq, a predicted model, not a curated record
UGGGCGUGCUGGCAGCAUAUGGCAGCACUUUCGAUUGUGCGUCAAGAAUUCAGCAUAGCAUGUUUGUAUGAACGUCUGGUUAUUAAAUGGGUACAUAGUUCAAUAGUAAUAUCCUCUAAAACGCUCUAGUGACAAACUAACUUUGCUGCCCUGUUUCAAAUUAUCUACAUGGCUGGGAGAACCUAUUCAAGUAAAGUAAAUACAUUUAAAAAAUAUAAAGAGAGCUAUGAAAGCCGGUCUACAUAUGAAGAGCAGUGGUUCUCAGUCCUGGGGUCUCAAAAGGGGUGCACAUUUUUGUUUUUGCCUUAGCACUGCACAGCUAAUUCAGUUGAUCAAUUCAUCAAGCUUCUAGUGGUAUUUCUGUAUUUAUUCUUUGAUAUGAUCCUGUUAUUGUCACAUGCUAUAUAUGCACGUGUGUGCCCAUUCAUCUUGAUAUCCAAUGUUUUCAUGAGUUGUUAUAAGGGAUAUUAUACUUUAGUAAUCCACAAUGACCCAGUGAUGUAAAAGUCUAAUAAUUACAUUGUCUUCCAUAUUACUACAGAUACCUUGUAACUGGAGAUUCCUUCAAAACGAUUGCCUACAGUUAACAUAUAGGGCACUGCAAGGUUGGGUGACCAGGGCCACCUGGGACUGCCUCCUGGGGGAAUUCAGGUGUGUGAAGGCUACCUGUGUCCUGCAUAACUUGAUGAGGAUGGACACGAGGACCAGGAGGGGAUGUGCAGCUUGCCGCCGUGUGCCAGAGUAGAAGUCUGCUGCUCUGUGAGAUGUUUCAAGGAUGGGGUCUAACAACGCAGCAAGAGGGGAGAUCUUCACCUCCUACUUCUUCGAAGAUGUUGCUGUUCCCUGGUAACACCAUUGACUACACUAUGCACAACCAAAGGCUCUUUUAAGAGCCAUUGACAUUGCAAUAAGAGUAUUCUUCCAUUUACUUAACGAUGUCAACAGCAGUUAUUCAAUUCCCAGUUUCUCUCCCCUUGAUUUCAUCUUCUCAGAUGAGGGUGCUGUUUAGCCACGGAUGUGAUGUCUGUACAGAAACAAAACAGGCUAUUUUAAUCACCCAUAUUGAUUUUUUUUUAAACAAUUAGAUACGCUAUAACCCAUACACUCAUGUAUCAAUAUGAUUGUGUUGUGCAGUAAGCAGGCUUAGGUGUAUAACUGUGGCUCCUUCCACCUUCAAAAAAUAGGCAAGAGGGCCAACCAUGGAGAAUAGUAAGAUAAUUCAUUAUUUCUAUAACUACUCUAUUGUUUGUCCUCGUGUGUCCGUUCAUGUUUUUCUGCAUAAAGUACUCUGCAGCCACUUAGUGUGGUGUGGACACCAGGAGAGGCCGCACAGAGCUUCCUUUUGAACACAGUCACUUUAACUACCUUAUUUUUCAAUAACAGUCUCGUUCAAUUCAUCCCUCUCUCUUCUCCCUAAAUCCUCUAGGUUAUAUCAGCUGUGUCAGUGAACCCCUCCCACAUCUGAACUGGCUACAUAGAGGGCACAGCAUGAUCAGAGAUAUGUUUUGAUGUGAGAGGGGAUGCCAACCCCCAGUCCUAUCAUCGCCACAUCACCUGCUUUUAAGAUAACCUUUGGGCUGUUGAGUGAUACUUAUGUAAUUGUGAUGAACUGAGAAUAUUUAGGUAGCACUGUGAUUCAUUAAUCAUAUGCUGCCUUCCCUGCUCCUAUGUUUUACCUCUUUCCCUUUUACACCUCUCCCGCCGCCUCUUUCUUCAUAAUGCACAACAGAUGUGCAUUGAAGUACAGAUUGAACUUGAAUUUAUAACAUUACCAUUAUAAUAUUUAUAAUGCAUGUAUUUAUAACACUUGGAUAAUGAGAUUUUCAAUAAAGCAUUUUACAUUCUCUA